GACGAACGCUGGCGGCGUGCUUAACACAUGCAAGUCGAACGGUAAGGCCCUUCGGGGUACACGAGUGGCGAACGGGUGAGUAACACGUGGGUGAUCUGCCCUGCACUUCGGGAUAAGCCUGGGAAACUGGGUCUAAUACCGGAUAGGACUCCGGACUGCAUGGUCUGGGGUGGAAAGCUUUUGCGGUGUGGGAUGGGCCCGCGGCCUAUCAGCUUGUUGGUGGGGUGAUGGCCUACCAAGGCGACGACGGGUAGCCGGCCUGAGAGGGUGACCGGCCACACUGGGACUGAGAUACGGCCCAGACUACUACGGGAGGCAGCAGUGGGGAAUAUUGCACAAUGGGCGCAAGCCUGAUGCAGCGACGCCGCGUGAGGGAUGACGGCCUUCGGGUUGUAAACCUCUUUCAGCAUCGACGAAGCGAAAGUGACGGUAGGUGCAGAAGGAGGACCGGCCAACUACGUGCCAGCAGCCGCGGUAA
RNAcentral lists this ribosomal RNA (478 nucleotides) under uncultured bacterium. RNAcentral's name for it is "partial 16S ribosomal RNA". It matches the Rfam family "Bacterial small subunit ribosomal RNA", at positions 28 to 523 of the family's 1533-position model. The record is from RNAcentral.